RNAcentral lists this ribosomal RNA (456 nucleotides) under uncultured bacterium. RNAcentral's name for it is "bacterial SSU rRNA". It matches the Rfam family "Bacterial small subunit ribosomal RNA", at positions 339 to 792 of the family's 1533-position model. The record is from RNAcentral.
GUACGGAAGGCAGCAGUGAGGAAUAUUGGACAAUGGGCGCAAGCCUGAUCCAGCCACGCCGCGUGAGUGAUGAAGGCCUUCGGGUCGUAAAGCUCUGUGGGGAGGGACGAACGAACCGUUGAAGAAGCGGGAAUGACGGUACCUCCUUAGCAAGCACCGGCUAACUUCUUGCCAGCAGCCGCGGUAAUACGAAGGGUGCAAACGUUGCUCGGAAUCAUUGGGCGUAAAGCGCACGUAGGCGGCCUCAUAAGUCGGAUGUGAAAUCCCUCGGCUCAACCGAGGACGUGCAUCCGAAACUGUGAAGCUCGAGUAUGGAAGAGGGUCGCGGAAUUCCCGGUGUAGAGGUGAAAUUCGUAGAUAUCGGGAGGAACACCAGUGGCGAAGGCGGCGACCUGGGCCAAUACUGACGCUGAGGUGCGAAAGCGUGGGGAGCAAACAGGAUUAGAUACCCCAGUA